This 168-nucleotide ribosomal RNA is filed under the name uncultured Rhodococcus sp. RNAcentral's name for it is "partial 16S ribosomal RNA". It matches the Rfam family "Bacterial small subunit ribosomal RNA", at positions 339 to 520 of the family's 1533-position model. Lineage: Bacteria; Bacillati; Actinomycetota; Actinomycetes; Mycobacteriales; Nocardiaceae. The record is from RNAcentral.
CCUCGGGAGGCAGCAGUGGGGAAUAUUGCACAAUGGGCGAAAGCCUGAUGCAGCGACGCCGCGUGAGGGAUGACGGCCUUCGGGUUGUAAACCUCUUUCAGCAGGGACGAAGCGAAAGUGACGGUACCUGCAAAAGAAACACCGGCCAACUACGUGCCGCAGCCGCGG